GAUGGAGGGGGAUAACUACUGGAAACGGUAGCUAAUACCGCAUAACGUCGCAAGACCAAAGAGGGGGACCUUUCGGGCCUCUUGCCAUCGGAUGUGCCCAGAUGGGAUUAGCUAGUAGGUGGGGUAACGGCUCACCAAGGCGACGAUCCCUAGCUGGUCUGAGAGGAUGACCCAGCCACACUGGAACUGAGACACGGUCCAGACUCUACGGGAGGCAGCAGUGGGGAAUAUUGCACAAUGGGCGCAAGCCUGAUGCAGCCAUGCCGCGUGUAUGAAGAAGGCCUUCGGGUUGUAAAGUACUUUCAGCGGGGAGGAAGGGAGUAAAGUUAAUACCUUUGCUCAUUGACGUUACCCGCAGAAGAAGCACCGGCUAACUCCGUGCCAGCAGCCGCGGUAAUACGGAGGGUGCAAGCGUUAAUCGGAAUUACUGGGCGUAAAGCGCACGCAGGCGGUUUGUUAAGUCAGAUGUGAAAUCCCCGGGCUCAACCUGGGAACUGCAUCUGAUACUGGCAAGCUUGAGUCUCGUAGAGGGGGGUAGAAUUCCAGGUGUAGCGGUGAAAUGCGUAGAGAUCUGGAGGAAUACCGGUGGCGAAGGCGGCCCCCUGGACGAAGACUGACGCUCAGGUGCGAAAGCGUGGGGAGCAAACAGGAUUAGAUACCCUGGUAGUCCACGCCGUAAACGAUGUCGACUUGGAGGUUGUGCCCUUGAGGCGUGGCUUCCGGAGCUAACGCGUUAAGUCGACCGCCUGGGGAGUACGGCCGCAAGGUUAAAACUCAAAUGAAUUGACGGGGGCCCGCACAAGCGGUGGAGCAUGUGGUUUAAUUCGAUGCAACGCGAAGAACCUUACCUGGUCUUGACAUCCACAGAACUUUUCAGAGAUGGAAUGGUGCCUUCGGGAACUGUGAGACAGGUGCUGCAUGGCUGUCGUCAGCUCGUGUUGUGAAAUGUUGGGUUAAGUCCCGCAACGAGCGCAACCCUUAUCCUUUGUUGCCAGCGGUCCGGCCGGGAACUCAAAGGAGACUGCCAGUGAUAAACUGGAGGAAAGUGGGGAUGACGUCAAGUCAUCAUGGGCCCUUUACGACCAGGGCUACACACGUGCUACAAUGGCGCAUACAAAGAGAAACGACCUCGCGAGAGCAAGCGGACCUCAUAAAGUGCGUCGUAGUCCG
RNAcentral lists this ribosomal RNA (1170 nucleotides) under Enterobacter sp. GDR05. RNAcentral's name for it is "bacterial SSU rRNA". It matches the Rfam family "Bacterial small subunit ribosomal RNA", at positions 132 to 1295 of the family's 1533-position model. The record is from RNAcentral. Lineage: Bacteria; Pseudomonadati; Pseudomonadota; Gammaproteobacteria; Enterobacterales; Enterobacteriaceae.